RNAcentral lists this ribosomal RNA (230 nucleotides) under uncultured bacterium. Its description in RNAcentral is "partial 16S ribosomal RNA". It matches the Rfam family "Bacterial small subunit ribosomal RNA", at positions 563 to 790 of the family's 1533-position model. The record is from RNAcentral.
AAGCGUGCGCAGGCGGUUGUGCAAGUCUGAUGUGAAAGCCCCGGGCUUAACCUGGGAACGGCAUUGGAGACUGCACGACUAGAGUGCGUCAGAGGGGGGUAGAAUUCCACGUGUAGCAGUGAAAUGCGUAGAGAUGUGGAGGAAUACCGAUGGCGAAGGCAGCCCCCUGGGAUGACACUGACGCUCAUGCACGAAAGCGUGGGGAGCAAACAGGAUUAUAUACCCCCUGU